AGUAAUGUCUGGGAAACUGCCUGAUGGAGGGGGAUAACUACUGGAAACGGUAGCUAAUACCGCAUAACGUCGCAAGACCAAAGUGGGGGACCUUCGGGCCUCAUGCCAUCAGAUGUGCCCAGAUGGGAUUAGCUAGUAGGUGGGGUAACGGCUCACCUAGGCGACGAUCCCCAGCUGGUCUGAGAGGAUGACCAGCCACACUGGAACUGAGACACGGUCCAG
RNAcentral lists this ribosomal RNA (222 nucleotides) under uncultured bacterium. RNAcentral's name for it is "partial 16S ribosomal RNA". It matches the Rfam family "Bacterial small subunit ribosomal RNA", at positions 109 to 334 of the family's 1533-position model. The record is from RNAcentral.